UUAAAUAGAUACUUAUAUACCUAAAAAUAACUUUUUGAAAAAAUAAAAAGCAAACUACUAGAAAGUUGUUGCUCGAAUUUGAUCAACUUCUAGCUAAACGGAUAGGAACCCGUUUAAAUGGCCAAAAAUAACUAGAAAUAUAAAAAAUGAAUACAAGUUGGUGAUCAUCCAUAAAAUUUGUUCCAAAUUGACAGAAAAAUUUAACGGUGCCAAUUUGCAAAAUAUUUUUGAUAGCACAUUCACAAACCACUAUAUUUUUAGCAAUUAAAAAAAGUAUUUUAGACCACAGACGUUUGAAACUAAUAACGACUCUUCCCACGAAUCACUGAACUGUAGCCGAUAACCUUCCACACAUGAUAGAUCCAACAUCUAUGACUCACCUCUCAACAGCCCGACCCAAACCCUACCAGCUCUCCUCCCUGCAUCCCCUCCAUUCUCGAGAACAUGCGAGCCGCCGCCUCCUUCUGCCCGAUCUCUCACCUCGCUUUGCUCCCGAACCCUCACCACCAACAGAUCGACCAACUCUGCCCCGGCGAUGGACUCCACCUCGCUCGCCGCCCCCACCCACCUGCCCUCUCUCCUGCGACGUCGCCUAGGGUCACGUCUUGGAUCUGUCCACGAAGAAGGCACCGGGAGAGGAGGAGGGGGCGGUAACAGUGGCCUUCCGGAUCUGAGGAGAAGAAGGUCCGACGGAUGGGCUCGCUCUCUGGCUGCGCCCCGAGCAAUCGUCGACUUACGGGGCGAGGAGGAUUCUCGCACCGUCGUGGCCGCCUCAGGGACACCUCGCCGUCGGCUGCCGCCCGAGCGCGAUUGCCUCACCGCCGUGGUCGCCUCGCGCGCGCCCCGGUGUUGCGUGUCGUGCCGCCACCAUGUUCCAGAAGCUUAACACCGUCGGCGAGUCCCUCCCUCUGGCCCGACCCUGUGCUCUGGAACCUUGUGGCGCUGAUUAUCUAUGGUGGGACCAACGCACGUCCGGUCGCCCUUCAAGACCAGACAAACUAGCCAGCUAACUUUGGAAUUCACCGGUCGGAAAACGUAAGCAAGUACUCCUACGUCUUUCAUCGUAUAGAAAAGUAGCGGUCCGAGCCCAAGCUAGUUUUGUGCCGCCACACUCGAGGGAGCCACCUAACGAAAAAAUGUCGCCGGUUUCGUGCUUGACUGGUCAGACCACACAUAGUCGUGAACCGACGCGCACAAAGAAUCACAUGUGGUGGAUGCCUAAACUUGAGCCCGUGGUUAGGGUUCACAUGCCACGGUCACCAAUAGCCCAAGAAAUGGGUGACGUGUCAUGUGAGAACUAAGACUGGUCACAAUGGGGAGUAACAUAAGAUAGUAACAUACACACUUUCCUAGACUAUAUUCCUACCUUCACAAUGGGGAGUAACAUGUAUGUAGUGUCAUGCAACGUUGCAUUUAUUAGGCUAUAGACUCAUUGUUUCUUAAAGUGUGUGAUGUUACGGUAACUUAGCUAGUUACCACAAGCACCUCUCUCUUCAUUAAAUACGUGCCACGUAAGCAAACUUGUAUUGGAGUGUGUGAUGUUACUACUAAGUUCCUCCCCAUUGUGACCAGCCUAAGGUGUGUGACGCGAGUGUCGGAACGGACGGCAGUACCUCGGCGUCACCGCCAGAGCCGCCCAUCCCGCUGGAUGCCUUCAUUAAGCUCGAGUUGUGUGUGUUAUAGCAGUGUGUGAUUACGAAAGUUAUUUUCAAUGUGAGAACGUGCUUCACCUUAUUUAUCAUAUAGUACUAUCAUGCAUAUGAUACUAUUGUAUGAUACUACCUUCAUAAUGCAUGGUAUCAUAGAUAACCUUAUUUAUUGACAUGCGUGACACAUAGUAGCAUAACAUUUAACAUGUUACGGUAUCUACCUAUGUUACUAUAAGAG
RNAcentral lists this long non-coding RNA (1887 nucleotides) under Hordeum vulgare. Its description in RNAcentral is "long non-coding RNA (HVUL_LNC012384)". Lineage: Eukaryota; Viridiplantae; Streptophyta; Magnoliopsida; Poales; Poaceae. The record is from RNAcentral.